Molecule: long non-coding RNA, 20834 nt
Filed under: Brassica napus (rape)
Lineage: Eukaryota; Viridiplantae; Streptophyta; Magnoliopsida; Brassicales; Brassicaceae
Description: long non-coding RNA (BNAP_LNC005658)
Source: RNAcentral
UCUAAACAUAUCUGGAUCUCGAGGAGAGGUCUCUGCUACUGCUUCAAAUUUUCUUGUAAGCUCAAGUAGAAAUACAUGUGUCAGGAGUAAUCCCUCUGAAACUGUAAGCCCAGCUGCCUUUUCUGCGGGAACUGUUGUCAGGCGACCUGUCCCUCCACCGCACUCUAACUUAUCAAGACUUGUACCAUCAGAUCAUCAUGGACAAUCCCUAGGAAAUAUCUUCUCACGGAACCCAAAUCCUCCUGCACCUGUUUCAAGGAAUAUGCUACCACCAUUUCAGUGGACUGAGAGCUCACUAGCGGGUGAAUCAUUCAACUCCACCGUGCCCACUGAGAGAAAUAAUCUUCAUCUAGAAGACACCAGGUCAAGAAGCAUAACAGCAGCGAGUGUUCUAGAGAAUCCCUUGUUUAAUCCAGCUCCUGACCUCAGCAGAAAUGCUAACCUGAGUAUUGCAUCAUCAUCAUCAGUGUCCAGGACAGGCUCAAGCACAGGUGUUCAAGCACCAUCUUCUAAUCUAGCGUGGACGCCUCACCGGAAUUUACCACCUCACCAAAGAAGAAGAUCGGAACUUGCCCAUAGGUCAUUGAUUUCUUCCCUUUCUGCAGAUGCGAGAUCUGGUGAUCAUCAUCCACCACUUCGUUCGUUGGCUCCUCCUGCCCCUCAGGAUGGGCUUGUGCUUCAGCCUGGUGGUGGUGAUAGUAGCCGGGCAUACUCGAGAGCAGGUCUGUGGCUUGAUAGACAAGUGGAUAGUUUGGUUGGGGCUCCUCAAUCUUUAAGGGCUUUGGCAGCUGCAAGCAGAGGAAGAAACAGACUUAUGGUAUCCCAGGUCAGUUCAUACAAGUUCGGUUAACCUUGAUGGUUUUUGUUAGACUGACAGUGAGUCUCUUUGAAACAGAUGCAGAAUAUCUUGGAAGUGAUGCGGAGGGAUCCGAAUCAUAACUUGCGGCUUGAGGUUAGUUUCUCCUUGGGGCGGGCUCAGUAGAAUAAACAGUGUUCUAAAAUUACAAGUGAACUUGUCUUCUCUCUGUCUCUGUUGAACUUUAAAAAGUAAUGUGAAUUGCUUGAUUGUCCAGGACGUUAUGCUUCUGAAACCUUAAUUAAAAAAUUAGUAAACAAAAAUAAUGGUAAUUAUAUAUGAUAUUUUUAAUUAAAUAAAAGUGCUUUGUAAUUUUAUUUUGUAAAAAUUAACUAAAAACGACACAUAGGAAAACCUAAGUAUCAAUAUUUACUUGUUCUUGGUACUGAAAACGUUGGUGAGGAACUGAGGAUGUAUGUGGAAUCACUGGAGAAGAAGAUGCCUAAGUCAAUUAGUGGUCAUGAAAUAUAUUGAGUGGUUGUCGACUGGGUUGUGUUAACAAACACAUAGAAAACUUAAUUAAUGGGCCUUCGAGUGAAUAUAUUUUUUUGUUCUUAGUGGCAAGAAUAUUUUGUUGAAGUAUCAAUAUUUGAUUGGCCUGACUUUUCUUUAAUUGUUACUAUCUAAGUUCCAAUUUUUGAUAUUUUUAUAUAACAGAAAUUACAAAAGUCUGUAUUGUGAGUUUCAACUAUUCACAUCCAUAGGACCAUAUAACAUGAUGUUUCACGGACUAAACAUUACCAACAUAUUUAUUUUACUAUAUACUUUGCUAUAUAUAUAUUUAUCAAACAUUUUUAUAUUCCAAAAUAAAAGAGCGAAAUUACAUUUAUUUUCAUAAUUAAAAAAUAUUGCGUAUGAAAUAUGUUUUAGUAUUUACAUAAUUUCAAACACAAAAAAAUUACUUCUAUAGUUUUCAUUAAUUGUGUUUGGGUUUAUAGAAUUAAAACCAAAAAUUCAUUAUGAUUUUUUCCAUAAAUGAAAUAAAAAUAUGCAUGACCAGAAUGAAAUUGCCACUUGAAGUUGUUUCUUUUUUUUUUUUUUGAAACACGGAAUUGUGUCUAAAAAAUCAAGUUAUGUAGGGGGUGUGAACCUGAUCAUUUGUAUUUUAGGCUAAAAAAAAUUAUAUAAAGAAUAAAUAAAAUUGAUUGCGAAUUAUUUAUAACAUGAUACACUUUCUACAAAACGUUUUUUUUAUAGAUUUUGUUUUUUAAUUUUAAAUUCAUAAGCUGAUAAUCAGUGCCGGUCAUAAAAAUUUAAGACCAAGUUUGUAAACUUGAGAUUUUACCAUUAGACCUAAAAAAACGAUUGAAAAUAUGUGGCCGAAAAUAUAUUUAUUGUGAAGCGGCCAAAAACCACUGAUUUCUUUGUUUAAGUCCAAGGGCCGGCUCUGCUGAUAAUCUCUGGGAGUAGAAAAUUUAAGUAAAUAAUAUUUCUAAUGAACAAAUGUCAUCUUGUGUUUAUUUUUAGUUGAGAAUCUAAUGAAAUUAAAGAAAAAAGAAAGGCAAGGAUAUGAAAAGAUAAGCAAUCAGAAAGCACACCAAAUGACCAAAGUUACAUGGUAACAAAAGGAAAGAAACCAAAUCUGUUGGUUUAGUUUGGUUCGGUUUAGUUAAAUUCAAAAAACAAAGAGAGGAAAAUUGAAAAACGAGGGACGUGUGAAGAAGCAAAGGCUAAGAACUUGCCAGCUUGCUGCUGUCUCCUCUUCAAACAAUUUAAUUUAUAGUAUAAAAAAAUUUUUAAUAAGUUUUUUUGUUGGUAUUCGUUGAUUAAGGCUAAGCUUAUUGAAUUCUCCUCUUUGGAAACUGCUCUUAUGACUGACCAUUUUGCUUUCUUUCUUUCUUUAUUUUUCCUUUUCAUAAAAAAAUAUACAUUUUUAAGUUUUCCUAACGUGAAUUAAAACAUUGCCGUCUCUUCCUCUGCCUAAUAAUCAAUCCUCCCUUCCUCUUCUCUCUCUGCAACAAAGCGGUACGUUCUCUCUCUCUCUUCCUCAAGUUUUGUUCUUUCUUCUCAUCCCAAGAUUAAUUUAGAUCGGUUAUGUUUUUCUAUUUUCUUUUUAUUGUUGGGUUUUGAUUUUGUCAUAUCUGGGACUUAUCAUUCGGAAUUGAGAAGAAUCUCUGUUGAAACCGAUUGUUCUAAAGUUGGCUCCUUUAUGUAUAGAUCUCUAAUCAACUUUUGUUUGUUUUGAUAGAAAGCUCUCUUCUUUACCCUUUAUUGAUGAUAUCUUCAUCUUCUGAUUCUGUCUUGUGGGUUGUUUGCCUGACCGACCGACCACCAUGCCUUUAUCUUCCUUCAAGCUGUUUGCUAGCUCUUGGGACUUUGUGACACUUAACUUCCUUUGCUUGUUGUUUUGUCAACCUCUGUCUCUAGGUGUCAAAUUGAUACUUCAUUCACCUCUUAUGAAGUCAUAUGUCAUCUGUUAUGAAUUGUGUUUUACUUGGCCAACUAAUCUAUGAGUCAGUGAGUUGUUUUAAGCUAUUGUGUGAUUUUAUUUGUAAUUACAGUUCUAGGAACUAUGUUUUCAUUGAGAGCAUUUGAGUGUGUUUAUGAGUUUCUUCCUUUUUCAUUCACAAUUUAACUUUUCUUUGUUACUGAAUGAUUUAUACUGUCUUUGUUCUUUUUUUCAGUCUCCACGUUAGGCAGGCACAUUGCUAGAGGAGCAAAGAAAGUCUCGCGAGUCCUCCUCUUCUCCCAAGUGUAACUGUGGUUAAACUUUAGCCGAGAUGCAGGGAGAGAGGGCCAGUCUCGGCUAUUUAUCAGAGGGCUUAAACUUUGAGCAUGGUUCCACCUCCAGUAAUGGUUUGAUGGAUCACUGGGACGGUCUUGGUGAUAACGACUUGCAGGACUACAUGAUUGCAAAUUCUGAAUCUCUCGCUCACUCGGUUUACCCUGAACAACAUAGGUUUAGCCUCGGCGAGGAGGCUAGCUCUAGUGGCACGAAGAAUGAAGCUUCCGGUCACAAUGAGCAACUAAGAAAUGAAAUAAUUGAUUUAGACUCAGAUUCUGAACAACCUUCUGGGGACAAUCAGAAUGUCAACCUGAAUGCAGAAUAUAUUGAACUUGACGAGGAUAUUGAUGUGGUUGAAGCUAACGGAUCAGGGAACAGGGCUUCACAACCUGGCAGACCUUUCCAAGAGACUAGUGUUAGAACAGGUUCUUCUGUUGAUGCAUCCUGCAAGAGGAAGGCUAUUGAAGGCAGUAGUAGUGGUCAGUCUUCUUUAGGUGGUUACCAUCACGGAGAAAGCAGCAGUUCGUGGACCCCAGUUUCUACCGAGUAUAGGUCAGUAAAUGGUCUAAACAUAUCUGGAUCUCGAGGAGAGGUCUCUGCUACUGCUUCAAAUUUUCUUGUAAGCUCAAGUAGAAAUACAUGUGUCAGGAGUAAUCCCUCUGAAACUGUAAGCCCAGCUGCCUUUUCUGCGGGAACUGUUGUCAGGCGACCUGUCCCUCCACCGCACUCUAACUUAUCAAGACUUGUACCAUCAGAUCAUCAUGGACAAUCCCUAGGAAAUAUCUUCUCACGGAACCCAAAUCCUCCUGCACCUGUUUCAAGGAAUAUGCUACCACCAUUUCAGUGGACUGAGAGCUCACUAGCGGGUGAAUCAUUCAACUCCACCGUGCCCACUGAGAGAAAUAAUCUUCAUCUAGAAGACACCAGGUCAAGAAGCAUAACAGCAGCGAGUGUUCUAGAGAAUCCCUUGUUUAAUCCAGCUCCUGACCUCAGCAGAAAUGCUAACCUGAGUAUUGCAUCAUCAUCAUCAGUGUCCAGGACAGGCUCAAGCACAGGUGUUCAAGCACCAUCUUCUAAUCUAGCGUGGACGCCUCACCGGAAUUUACCACCUCACCAAAGAAGAAGAUCGGAACUUGCCCAUAGGUCAUUGAUUUCUUCCCUUUCUGCAGAUGCGAGAUCUGGUGAUCAUCAUCCACCACUUCGUUCGUUGGCUCCUCCUGCCCCUCAGGAUGGGCUUGUGCUUCAGCCUGGUGGUGGUGAUAGUAGCCGGGCAUACUCGAGAGCAGGUCUGUGGCUUGAUAGACAAGUGGAUAGUUUGGUUGGGGCUCCUCAAUCUUUAAGGGCUUUGGCAGCUGCAAGCAGAGGAAGAAACAGACUUAUGGUAUCCCAGGUCAGUUCAUACAAGUUCGGUUAACCUUGAUGGUUUUUGUUAGACUGACAGUGAGUCUCUUUGAAACAGAUGCAGAAUAUCUUGGAAGUGAUGCGGAGGGAUCCGAAUCAUAACUUGCGGCUUGAGGUUAGUUUCUCCUUGGGGCGGGCUCAGUAGAAUAAACAGUGUUCUAAAAUUACAAGUGAACUUGUCUUCUCUCUGUCUCUGUUGAACUUUAAAAAGUAAUGUGAAUUGCUUGAUUGUCCAGGACGUUAUGCUUCUAAAUCAGUCAGGGAUAUUUGAUGGGGCUGCUGGUAUGCAUGACCGAUAUAGAGACAUGCGGCUUGAUGUAGACAACAUGUCAUAUGAGGUUAAAGCCAUUAACAAACGAUAAAUUCUGUCUGGUGGUCAUGUUAGAUCGUUAAAACCUCACUCACUCCUGUUGGUUCAUAAACUUUAGGAACUGCUGGCACUAGAAGAGCGGAUUGGAGAUGUGUGUACAGGUGUAAACGAAGAAACCAUAUCAAACCGGUUGAAGCAGAGUAAAUACAAAAGCAGCACAAAAUCUCCAGAAGAUGCAGAGCCAUGCUGUAUUUGUCAGGUACGAGUUGCUGCAAAUCAUAAUAUAACAAGAAAGAUUAUGUUUCUUUUUUCGUGCGAGUGUGAAUGGUGAAACUUGGUGGUGUAGGAGGAAUACACUGAGGGAGAUGACAUGGGCACGUUAGAAUGUGGGCAUGAGUUCCAUAGCCAAUGCAUAAAAGAAUGGCUGAAACAGAAGAAUCUCUGCCCAAUUUGCAAGACGACAGGCUUGAACACAGCCAAGAAGCGUAAAAUAGGAUGAAUGAGAGCUUCUUCUUUUUUUUUGUAUUUGUUUUUACAAUUCAGCUUAUGAACAAAAAAUGAAAGAAACAAAAAAAGACACCCUCAAGCUUCCUUCCACCAGUGCAGAGCCUCUCACCGGAAAUGCCUCCACAGGCUAGUUGGUCCCUUUUGUUUGUUCUAGUAGUCUGAAUAUGCAUUAUAUGAUUUUAAGGAUCAUGAUAUGGUUUGUGAUUGAAGGUAGAGAUAAAGGGUGAUAGGGGAAUGUUGGGAGAAUGUAUUUGCUUUUUUCGUUUCUGGAUUGGUAUGGAUAAUUUAAUUUACUCAUUUGUCAAUUAAUGUAUGAAUCCAUUGAAAGAAGUAGCAGGAUGUUGAGUCAGCCAGUUUAGAGAGCUCUCCCUUUGUACCUGUUACAAAACUUUUUUGUGUUGCCGGACAUAUUCAUAUUUUCUUAAACAUUAUACUACAUGGUCGGUCCACACAUAUAGUCUAUAUAUAUAAUAAAGCUAAUAUACUCUUUAAGACUAUAACCAAAAAGAGACUAAAUUUUGUAAUUAAUUUUGAUAAGUUUUGAAUUAUAAUAUAAAAUAUUGUAAUAAGAACUGGUCCUCUUAGUAAGUUGAUCAAGCAAUGGCUUAAAAUUUAGAAACUCGUUAAGAAGCUAAUUUCCCAAGAGAUUAGUUGGUUCAAAUGAUUAUGAAGUAUGGUUCCAUUAGCCUCUGAGUUCGAGUUGCAAAACUUUUUGUGUUCAUUUUUGUUUGUAUUAUAUUACAAAUAUAAUUUGUAGAAUCAUAAAUUGAAGGGAAGCAAUUUCAAGAUUGGAGAUCUUAAAAGAAGGUGAAAGAGGAAGUGGAUUGGUGGUUUCUUGUUCAGGAGCAAGAGAAUGAGAUCGAUGAAAAAGACUUGAUGAGAUUCGUGAGACAGAAAUGACAGGGAAAUGGAUCCCUCCUCCUAUGCCUUGGUUUAAAUGUAAUGUUGCCUAUUCGUGGGCAUCGGCUAUCAAAGGGGAGGUGGUGGCGUGGUGCUUGGCUUCUAAGAAAUCAUGAAGACAAAUUUAUAUUAUAUAGCAAAAAAAUAUUUUCUUUGUGAACAACUCAAGCAGAUUUAAAUUUCAGAUUUUCAUUUGGUCAGCGGAAAUUAUGAAAAGUCAUAAAGUAAACCAGGUGAUUUUUGCGAUUGUUGCAUUGUGGAUGUGAUUAUUAAAUCAAAAAACAUUGGCCUUUAUUCAGGUUUCAGUACUCAAAGAUCAUGCACCAGUUAAGGAACAUUGAAUGGUAGGGGGUGGUAAGAGAGAAAAAACAAGGAACAUAAGAUCAAAGUGUGAUAAAGGAAGGCUUUACACAUUCCUAUAUAGCCAGUUGUCAUAUAUAGGAUAUCUAUGCUGGUUAAAAAAGCUCUUUGAUGGUGCUAUAAUUCAUCCCUUGGUUUAAUUGGUUUUGGUUAGUAUUGGAACACUGUGUUGGAACAUGGAGUUAUCCUUCUUGUUUGACUUUCCUAGGCACUUUGUGUCGAUGAUUGUAGAAUUUUGGGAUAUGUGUUAUAUGGUUUCCACAUCAUUGUUAAAAACGAAUUAUGAAUCUUGUAGACCUUUGGUGAUUAACACAAAUUUUCAGAUUUUUGAAGAGAAGAAAAGUAUCUAGAUAGUGGACUCGACCAACUUAGUCUCUGAGAGACACAAAGUAUAACAGCUUCAAGAACAACAGUGUCUUUCACAAGGUAUCCCUUUGCUUCUAUCUUUUAGCUCCUCUAGUGAUAUAGUAUUAGGUCCUAACUUUCUUAUAUUUUACCAUCUCAAAAUGAAUCUAUCUCUUACAUGUUUUCUCGACAUGGUUAGUGUUUUUCUGAUUCGCAGCUUGAACUUUGCGUAGAUGCUAAAGAAAACUACUAUAAACUACUAUAUACACUUAUUAUAAUAUCAAUUUGGAUUAGAACAUGUUUUGCGGAUCAAACUCAAAACCAUGUAACUAAGCUUAAUGGUUUCAGGACAAAAAGGACUUGAUCUCUUUCUUUUCAAGAACCAGGACAGAUGUUAUAACUGUACAGAUGCAUAAUUCAUGUACAGUUAAAACACACAUCUAGAUCGAUUCAACAGGAAACUAAACACACAAGACUUCUCCAUUCAUUUAUUAUUAGCAGAACUUCGAGCUAAAGGUGAAAGCAAGCGACGUUCUACACAUUGGUUCUAAGCGUUCUCAGAUAUAAUACUAACCACAAGACUUAAAGGAGCUUCCACCUUGUAAAAUUGUGAGUCUGGAAUAUAAUCUACAGAGGAAACAUAAAAUGAUAUGAACACAUACAUCUCAGACAAGACAGAGAAAGAAAUGUUGUACUUUCGGUCGGAAUAGAAACAGAGAGGUGUUUUACAGAGAUGGAUUUCAACCAUAUGAUCCCGUUGAGGGUUUAGAAGAUGAAGAUCAUGAGUCAAGUAAUCAUGUUCAGAUUAGUUUGAACAUGAAGCCAUCUUUGCAUAAGCAACAUGUUCGGUUAGUUUCGCAUUAUGUUCGAUUAGUUAUACAUUAUGCAGUAAGCUUCCAUGAUCAAUCAUUCAAAAAUCUAAGAAAAUGUAUUUUAUCAAAAAACGCUUUUAAAAGAAAAAUACUUGUAAGAAAAACUGAAACUAAAUGAAUAUAAUGUGAAGAUAAACAACCAUGAUCUCUAACAAUCAAAAAAAUUGACAGGACAUCAUGUUCAAAAAUACUCACAUUAUGCACUUAGCUUCCGUAAUCAAAUCAUUCAAAAACCUAAGAAAAAUGUAUUUUAUCAAAAAAACCUUUAAGAAAAACAAAUGAUUUUCACAAAAUUUGGAAAUUAAUUAGAAAGAUAAAUGAACAUAAUAUGUAGACUACUAUGAUAUAUCAAAAAUGACAACAAGACAUCAUGUUCUAGAUUAGUUCCACAUUAUGUAAUUAUACGUUCAUACUCAAUCAUUUAAAAAACUUAUAAAAAAAAGUUUUUUUAUCUAAAUAAAAAGAAGAAAAGAAAGAGGAUAAGAGAUUAUCACCUAAAGGAGGAGGUUGGUGAUUGUGAAUGGAUCUCGAUGACCUCGUGUUCCCGUUGGAGUCGGUGGGAGUGUGGCUUCCUCCCUCUCUCUCUCUCGGUUCUGGUCAGCUCCGGCGAUUCUUCCCAUAUGCAGCAUCUUUAAACCAUAAGCGCGGCCUCCUGUUUCACAGACUUCCAAAAAAAAUACAUAUCAUCACGAUUUGUUUUCGAUUCAUACACGACAAUGUUAAUGUUGAUGGAAAAACACACAUAAAAUUAAAAAAAAAAGACAGAUCUGACCGUUGGAGUCGGUUGGAUUUUGGCUUCCUCUCUCCGAUGUCACCGAGCGCACGACUAUUCUUCACAUCAUCCGCCACCUGUUACAGAGAUUCCAAAAGAACAUAUACAUAAAUAUACACCAUCACAAAAAAUAUAUAUAUAUAAAAAAAAAUAUAUACCAUCACGAUCUGUUCGAGAUCAUGCCACAAAAUAUUGACGAAAAGACAUAAAAUAAAUAAAAAGAAAGACAGCGAAGAAGAGAUAGAUACCUCCGACUUGAUCAGGCAUGUUUGUUUGAAUCUUGUCGCCAUUAUGUCUUUCUCCUACAGAGUCUUCUUUCUCCGACAGAGUCUUUAACUCUUGUUGGUCUUUUAUUUUACUUGUCUCUUCGCAAAGAGUCUGUGAGAAUAAUUGAGAGGAUGAGAGGUUUAUGGUGAAAGAAGGCAAGAAGAGCUCUUCUUAUAUAGAGGAGCGCCCAACGGCUCAUUUUCAUUUACAACGGUCUUAUUUUUUAAGUAAUUUGUAUUCGUUCGAUGUUUAUUAAUCUUUUUACUAACAGGUCUAUUACAGCGGUCUUAUUUUUAAAGUAAUUUGUGUUCGUUCGAUGUUUAUUCAGCCUUUUCAAUUACGGAUCAAUUAAUAUAUAUAUAUAUAUAUAAGUCAUUUCUUGACAUGAACAAUUCUUUAUAAAAAAAUAAAGGGAAAAUUUGAAAAAAUACUUCUAAGUGAGAUUAUAUUUUGAAAAUUAGGCCUUUUUCAUUUUAUUUUGAAAACUACAUUUAUUUAUAAUUGAAAUGACUAAACUAUCCAUUUUUAAAUCUUUAUAGUUAACUAAUAUCUAAAUUACUAUUUUAUUUUAAUACAGAAAACAAUGCGUUUAAAAAAUGUUUUAAAACAAAUCUAACAUUUCAUAAAUUUAAAACAGAAAACAAUGGAUUUUGUUCUUUUCGACAAUGCUCUUAUCUUUAUAAUAUAAGAUAGUUAAUUUGCUUCUACUCACUGCUUCCUAAACAAACUCUUCGACGUUUCAUCACAGUUAGCAAUAACAUAAUUGUUCAUAGGAUCUUUUAUAAACAAAAAAAACAAUCAGUCAAUGAUACUGUUUCCAAAUAACUAAAUGAUCUUUUGUUUGAUCUAAAGAUUGCUUUUGUUUUGAUAUACACACAUAUGAAACAACCCAGACAAAAAUCUGAGAAUCAAACAAUGUGUUGAUAUAUUUCUUUAUAAAAUUUUAUUCUUUACUUUAAAUUUUUGCUCUGACUAGCAUAGCACAAAACAAUUUGAGAGAAGAGAUAAUAUUAUGUGAGUUUUGGGCACAUGGAAAGUGAAUAUAAACUCUUGUAGAUAAUUUUUCAUGUGCUUUUUCACCAUUCUUAAAAUGUUCGAAUUGUAUGCUUUUAAGAUUUUAGAAUUAAUUAUUAAAAUUUUCAAUAUCUAGUUAACACCAGGACAAAAGUGUCUUAUCACAUAAAACCGCCCAACGGCUCAUUUUCAUUUACAACGGUCUUAUUUUUUAAGUAAUUUGUAUUCGUUCGAUGUUUAUUAAUCUUUUUACUAACAGGUCUAUUACAGCGGUCUUAUUUUUAAAGUAAUUUGUGUUCGUUCGAUGUUUAUUCAGCCUUUUCAAUUACGGAUCAAUUACAACGGUCCUAUUUAAAUAAGUAAACAUAUAUAACGGGUCAAUAUAACGUUAGUUUCGAGAAGAAAAUAAAUUACGUUUAUUGAGGCCCAAUCAAAUAUUUAACAAAAUAAUAAAUGUUAUUAUUAUUCUUAUAAUAAUAAAGUCAUAAAUGAUAUUAUUAUUAUUUGCAUUGGUGACACUAAUUAUUAUUAUUAUUCACAUGCAGCUUUCUUCACACACUUAUAUUAUCGAUUCACAUAAAGUUUAUGUAUUUGCUGCAAUGUUACCUAUACUCAACUAAGUGUCACUCAUUGGUCAACAAUUACAUUUAUUUUUUGUUCAGACAAAUCCAGUCUCUAGUCCUCCAAGAUUAAAAUGUAGUGACUAUAUAUAUAUAUAUAUAUAUAUAUGCGGGCUCAGUAGAAUAAACNNNNNNNNNNNNNNNNNNNNNNNNNNNNNNNNNNNNNNNNNNNNNNNNNNNNNNNNNNNNNNNNNNNNNNNNNNNNNNNNNNNNNNNNNNNNNNNNNNNNNNNNNNNNNNNNNNNNNNNNNNNNNNNNNNNNNNNNNNNNNNNNNNNNNNNNNNNNNNNNNNNNNNNNNNNNNNNNNNNNNNNNNNNNNNNNNNNNNNNNNNNNNNNNNNNNNNNNNNNNNNNNNNNNNNNNNNNNNNNNNNNNNNNNNNNNNNNNNNNNNNNNNNNNNNNNNNNNNNNNNNNNNNNNNNNNNNNNNNNNNNNNNNNNNNNNNNNNNNNNNNNNNNNNNNNNNNNNNNNNNNNNNNNNNNNNNNNNNNNNNNNNNNNNNNNNNNNNNNNNNNNNNNNNNNNNNNNNNNNNNNNNNNNNNNNNNNNNNNNNNNNNNNNNNNNNNNNNNNNNNNNNNNNNNNNNNNNNNNNNNNNNNNNNNNNNNNNNNNNNNNNNNNNNNNNNNNNNNNNNNNNNNNNNNNNNNNNNNNNNNNNNNNNNNNNNNNNUUAAGUAUUAUGACAUAUGUUAUUCAAAUUUAUACGUAAUAUAUUAUUUUAUUUAUACAUUUUGAGAAAUUUAAAAUAUAUAAUGAUUUAAGACUUUAAAAAUAAUUUAAAUUAGUUAUCCAAACCCAAACCAAACCCGCAAAGAUCCAAAUCGAACUCAAACCAAAAUUUAGAAACAUUCUAAUAAGGCUGAAAUCUUUGACCCCGAAAACCCAAAAUACAAACCGAUCAGAACUAAACCCGUAUGGGUAUCCAAAAGCCCAUCCCUAGUCAUUAUUAUAUAUCGUAUUUUAUCAUCAUAUAAUUAAUCGUAUUUUAUAUGUACCAUCAUAUAAGUAAUCAUAUAAUUAAUAGUAUUUUAUACAUACCAUCAUAUAAAUAAUUACAUAUAUUAUAUUUUUAAAACUUAAUAUGAAAUAUGAAAACCAUAAUUUGAGUUGGUAUUUCAAAUUGGGCUUUGUAUUAUAUUUUUCUUAUAUAUAUUGACAAUAUUUUUUUAUAAUGGUUAUUGAAAAAUAGUUUAGUAAAAAUCCAUUUUUGAAUAUAUGUAUAUUUUUGAAUCAAUUUUUGAUAUAAAUCAAAUUUGAAUUAUUAUUUUGAUUUGAAAUAUGUAUAUAAAGUUUAAAUUUUGUUUUAUGGUUAGUUUAGAAAAAAAAAUUUUAGGGAAUUAGAUUGACCCAUUUUGGUAUAUUUUAAAAGUGGCCUAGAUAACUUUCAAUUUUUUUAAAAAACAUAAGCCCAUUACUUUUUUUCAUAAUACUACUAUCCUUGUUUUCAAACAAAAAUAUUUUUUUUUAAAAGACUGCAAUCCAUGUUUCCAAACACUCCAAAUUUUUAAAAGUCCUAUUCAAGUAUCCAAACACUCCAAUUUUGUACUUGAGUUUUAAUAAGAUAGAUGUAGUUUUCAAAAAAUAAAAAUAAAAAUGUAUUUUUCAAAAUUUAAAUCACAAAUAGAGUAUUUUUCAAAUAAAUAUGGGAACUCUGUCGUCAUAACAAUGAUUCUCUGUGCAAAUUCCUUGUACCAAAUAUAUAGGGGGAUUGUUUCACAAAAAAAAAAGUGGGCGCGCAAUGAAAAGAUGUUAACCUGUUAGGGCGAGUUUUUUUUCUUCUGGUUAUAAAUUGGGAUGAAAUUUUAGUGUAGUAUUUUUCUUGUAAUAAACAAAUUUCCACUUGAAGAUCCUGUUAAGAUUUAUGAUUUUUACGUGAUUUUCCAAAAUGACAAAAAAGUGGAAAUAACUCGAUCGAGCACUAUUAAUCAUUUGAGGCAGUUCUCAACACCUAUCACCUAUGGGAUUCGUCAAGUGAUAUGUCUCCGGCCUAACACUAGGUUUUACAAAAAAACAUGUAUGAAUAAUAUUGACUUCUGUAUGGAGACCAGCCUCCAUUCUAUGACCAUCGCAAUAUCAAAAUUUAAAAAUAAUAAAAUCGUGGCAAAAUAUUUAAAUAUUUAUUCAUUAUAUAAGCACCCAAAGCUAACAUGAUGACUUAACUUGCAAAACAACUCUUCCAGGUUUAGAAGCUAAAUAUUAACGUUGACCACUAAACCACAAUAAUAAAGAUAUGUGUACAACCGAAAAAUAUUUUGUGCUGGAUCCGAGAGAAGCAACCUUCUCGGAUCUUGCAUGUUUUCUCUUCUCCUCGGAUCUCAGGAAUAGAAAGUUCAUCGAUUCUUCUGAACAGAAGCUUGAGGAUGAUCUUUGCAGAUUCCGGCGACGGUGGAUCAUCUUUGUAUCCAUCGUUAUUCAAAAACUCAUGAUUCUUCUAAGGAAACCUCUCUACUUUUUGGGAUUCUAUAUUUCUUUUUGGUUGAAUCUUCUUUCUUCCAAUGGUGGCUUCUUUAAGAUCCUCCCAAAUCUUUUCAAAGGUCAGAUCUACUUUGGACUUCUUGUUUUAUACGAUUUGGUGUAAGUUCUGUUAAUUACAUUAAACAUAAAAUAAGGUUAGACCUAAACGACACGUAUAAUUUCUUUAUUUUCUUCUAAAUGUCAAACGGAAACAGUGAUUUUAAUAGAUCAAUAAUUGUCGCUUAGUAUGAAUUGUUCUUCACAAAUGAUCUUGCGUGACUAAGUUAGUAAGUUACUCUAAAGGGAUUUUCUGCUUUAUCAAGUAUAUAUCUCCUAUAAUUAGUUCAAUGUUGAAACUACAUUUGAGACUAAACCUACAUUUAAACGCAACUAGGACCUCAUGUGUUGUGCAACCAGCCAGCGAUUAAAAUUAAGUUAAAAAUGGUUUAAUUUGUAUGAAUAUGUGCAAGUACUAUUAAGUUAUUCUAGUUUUUUUGUGCAAAAUCUACUAUUUAAAUAUCGUCACCGUUUGUUUAACAUUUAUACUUUCUGUAACUAAUUCAGGUAAGAUUAUAUGGCCGGAAAAAACAUCAGCGACAUUUGCAUCUUUAAUCGGAAACCUAGACCGGCGAGUAGAGUUAGACCGGAGAAUAGAGAGAGGAAGUAAAAGAUACAAAGCAAUGUUGUCAAUUAUGGCUUCUAAGCUUUCUUACGAGAACACAAACUUUGUCAGCUCUGUCCUUCACAACCAUUGGAAGGUUUUAACUUUUAAUAAUAAUCUCUUUUCUUUUUGCUAAGUAUCUUUUUUCCUUCAUAUUUUUCUCACAACUCUCACUAUCAAAAAUAAUUCAAGGUUGCAUAGGGUUAUAUUCUAGUAAAUAAAACGUAACAGUCAAGAUUGUCAUCGAUGACUCGUCUAAAGGUUCUUUCAAAGCAAUUAUCCAACAAUUCUUUGUAAAAGUAUUUAAAAAUUAUGUCAAAAUAAGGCAACUGAUGCGUACUGUUUUACCUGUAUCUUCAUUUCGUCGAAAUAUUUAAGUGCAUCUUUAGAACAUGAUCACGCAUGAUUAUCUUUGAGACAGAAAUUAAUACAAUACAAUAAUUAAAAAUUAUAUGUUAGACUUUUUAAUCGCUAUUUGUUAAUUUAUUCCUGGAACAGAUGGACUUAUUGGGUUUCUACAGCUGUUGGAAUGGUGAGGAAAAAUAUAUGACUCAAUCUCUAUACAUAUUUUGCCAAAAGAAAGAGGGUCUAUACAUGUCUUUAUUCUCAUUUUCUAUAGAAUUCUACAAGAUUAUGCCUUAAUUCUUUAAUAUUUUUAGGAUAUUAAAAUUUUGACUUGUAUCAAGUAUCAAGAAUAGUGACCAAAAAAAUUAUUAUAUAUAGAAUAUUUACAUAAUUUUUGGUGUUUUUUCUUCAGAGAGUAAUAUUUAUUUUCUUCGGAGAGUAAUACUUUAUUAUUUGGGUUUCUUAGGUUACCAGAAACAGAAGUCAACGGAAGUGAUUGUUAUAAAAGACACAAGCACGUAUCCGAACCUCAUCGUCGUCAGUUUCAGAGGCACCGAUCCUUUCGACUCCGAUGAUUGGUGUACCGACUUUGAUCUUUCCUGGUAAGCUUUUUUUAUUUUUUAUUUGCUUUAAUAUACUCUUCUUUUGGACAUUGUUUCGAUAAUCUCCAAACAUAAAUCAUUGUUCUUAGUUCACUUUAGGUUGGAGUCUAUUCAGUUUAGGGUCGUUGAUUGGUUCCUCUAGUUACACCAAUGUUGAUUUUCAAAAUAGGUACGAGAUUAAGAAUGUGGGAAAAGUACAUGGUGGAUUCAUGAAAGCUUUAGGCCUUCAAAAAGAAGGAUGGCCUAAAGAUGUAAAUUUUGACCAAACCCAAAAUGAAACAACUCAAUAUGCAUACUAUACUAUUAUGCAUCACUUAAAAGAGAUCCUCGAUCAAAAUCCAGCAUCCAAAUUUAUCUUGACUGGACAUAGCCUAGGUGGAGCCCUAGCGAUCCUAUUCACGGCCGUGUUGAUGAUGCAUGACGAAGAGCAAAUGCUAGACAAGCUCGAAGGAGUUUACACAUUUGGGCAGCCCCGCGUAGGAGAUGAGGAGUUUGGAAAGUUCAUGAAAAAUUCACUGAAGAAGUAUGAGGUUAUGUACGAAAGAUACGUGUAUUGCAAUGACAUGGUUCCUAGGUUGCCUUUUGACGACAAAACACUCAUGUUCAAACACUUUGGGGCAUGCCUUUACUAUGACAGUUUCUAUAGAGGAAAGGUUAGUUUCAAACUAGUAUAAUUUUUUUGAUAAAAAAAAAACUAGUAUAAUUUAUGUUUUUUUUUCUUUGAGUUGAUCACUAAUUAGAGAUUUAGGAAACUUUUUUUUUCUAUCUCGUUCCGCACCGUUCCGAAAGUUCUUUCUAACAUGAGAAUAUAGGACUCGGCACGGAUCGAAUAUCCGGGUUUAUAAAGGUAUUUGUGAUUUGUUUCAUAUGUUACGAAUAUCUAAUUUUGCGAUUUGCUUUGCUUCGAAAAAAUAUGAAUCGAAAAAUGGAUAUCUGGAAAAUAAAUAGAUAUUUGCGGAUAUUUAUGAAUACUUACGGAUAUCUCAUCCAUUUUAAUUAAUACAAAUAACUUUAAAAAUUUGAUACAAAUUUGUUUUAAAAGUAUUUUUUUGCAUAAUAUAUAAAAUAAUUUUUUUAAAAAAUAUUGAAACUACAUAUUUUGUAUAUUUUAAACUUAGUUAACAAUCAUAAUAACAGAAAACUUAGAAAAAAUUAUAACACUCAUAAAAAUUUUCUCUUCUUUUUAUAUAAUACUUUUAUGUAAGUAACAAUGUGAAUAUAAUUUUUCAAAUCAUAUGUUAGAAUAAUAAUUAUAUAAACCCAUACAUUUAAAAAUUUAAGUAUAAUCAAGAUAUACAUGUAUUUAUAUAUUGCCGGAUCAGAGCGGAUAUCCAGUUCUCAAAAUUUUAAUAUUUGUGUGCUUUGAAAAUUUAAAUUAACGGAUGUUGAUUUUUAUUAUUUGCUUUGCUUUGAAAAUUUACGGAUAUCCGAAAUUUUCGGAUCAAAUCAAAACGAAUAACAAAUCGAAUCAAAUUUAACGGAUUAAAUGCCCAUGCGACCUAUGAGAAUAUACUCAUGAUGGAAACAAGACUUCUUAUCUCGGAAAUGGGAUCGGACGAGACAGAAACUAGCUGAGAACUUUAUAUAUAAAAAAUUUAGAAAAUGUUAUAUUUAUAAAACUUAUGUAUUUAAAAAAAACUGUUAUCAUUUCAUACAAGUAUAAAAUUUUAUGUAACACUUUUUAAUAUAUACUAGCUUAAGACACGCGCAAUUGCGCGGAAUGUAUGUUAUAUAUAAAAAUAAAUUUUUUAAUAUUUAUUUUUAUUCAUUUAAGUAUUAUGUAUAUAAUUAAAUUAGAGUAAAGACAUAAAUCAAAACAAUGCAUCUUGUUUAUUUACGAUAAUAUUUUGGUAAGUAAAUCAGAACAAUCAUUUUAUUUAUUUUAUAUGGUAUAUAACUAAAUUUCAAUGACAUGUACAUAGAUAUAUACUGUAUUUUAAUAUAAAUAUUUAUUAUUGAGAAUUCAUAUUCAUAUGAUAAACACAAAAUUCUAAUGUGCGAUUUUUUGAAUGUAAAUUUCAAAAUUAAAAUACUAAGGUCUCAAUAUUUUUUAAAUAAAUUUUUUAGAAAUUAUCAUAUUUAAUUAUUUUUCUAUGUUAUAUAGUUUAAUUUUAAACUAUAUUAAUAUAUAAUAUGAAUGUCUAGUAAAUGAGACUUCAUAUUCAUACGAUUUAUGAUCAUUUGUAUUUUGUUAUUACAAAAAAAGUUAAACCAUUGAUCACAAAUUUUAGUGUGAGACAUUUAACUUUUAGUAAUUUAUAGUCGUUUUAAAAAUUCAAAAUAUAACAUAUAAGAAAAAAAUUAAUUUUUUAUAUGGUUAGUGUUGUUGUUUAAUAUCUUUUAAUAAUAUAAAAUUAAAUAAAAAAAGCUAAGAUACACAAAUUAUUAUCAAAUAUUUAUUAUUCAUAAUCAUCAAUUGUCAUAUAUAUGUUAAUUAUAUUAGGUAAUUCUGUAGCUUUUAUUUAAAGAAAGUGUGAGAAUAUUCUUUUGUACACUAUUUAUCAAUUUAAUAGUUAGUUUAAUAAAAAACAUAAUAUAAGUUAAAAUUAACUAACAUAUUUCUCUAAGAAUUUUGAAUUUCAUUCUCAUGGUGACACGUGACUACAAAAUAAUGUUGUAAUAUUUCUCAAUUAAUAUAUAAAAGAUUGUCAUAAAUGGGAAAAUCGAGAAUUCUUGUCUUGUUUUCGCAUGGAUUACCAUUUGCGGACUUCCUUUACUGAUGAAAUUAUAUUCAUUGCUACUGUGUAAUUAUUAUGUUCAGGUAGAGCAAGAGGAGCCGAAUAAAAACUAUUUUAGUAUGUUAUGGGCAAUACCCAAGAUUAUGAACGCAAUGUGGGAGUUGAUGAGGAGUUUCAUCAUACCUUAUUGGAAAGGUGAAGAAUACAGAGAAGGAUGGUUGUUGAAGUGUUUCAGGGUUGUUGCUUUGUUAAUUCCGGGACUACCUGCUCACGCUCCUAAUGAUUACGUCAAUGCUACACUCUUGGGUAACUUACCUGACCUGCACCUUGACUAGAAUAUAAUUGCAUAUAGUUUCCGAAUUCUUUGUAUAAUUAGUUUGUGUCCAACUUUAGAUAAAUGAGGAGUGAAGAAGUAAUAAAAUGAAUAGUAAUGUAUUUGGAGAUUGGACGAUGUUUACAAAUGCAUGGUACAACAUUAACAAAUCCAAACUCGAGAUAGUAGUAUUAUAUGGAAAAAAGCUUAAAAACAUUUGUACUAAAAUAAACCAAUUUUUAUUACAAUAUUAUCAUUUUAACAUACCAAAAACAACACAAGUUAAACCAGCUGAGAUAUGAAAUUGUUCCGAGUAAGACUAUCUAACCGCAUUGGGUGACAAUGCACCAAUUCUGAAGACGGAUAUUUUGCUGGAUUUUAGUCGUGCCUCGUCUCUCGGAAGAAGCUGGAGUAGUAUGCGGUUGAGAAGACAAAGUUGAUCUCACUAGAUGCUUGAUUGGUUGGAGAGUAUUGAGAUCAAUGCCAAAACUUCGUAAAAUUACAUUUAUGUUCAGCUCUCAUCGCAGACCAUUGAUAAGUCUCACCAAAAAGAUAUCAUUGUAUUAGUGAUUUCUUUGAACAAGUGGGAUAGUAUGAAAUAUAUAACAUUACAAAAUUGACAAUUGACAAUUUUCAAUUAAGGGAAAACUAUGUGAUUACUAAAAGUCAUUAUUAUAUAAUAGUUUAAAGGAUUUUUAAUGUUAAAACCUCUCAUUUGUUUUGGGUAAAAAUUCAUAAACUAAGUAUUUAACGAAAAACUUCCAAAUUAACUUUAUUUAAUAAAUUAAACCCUAGCACUUCAUAAAUUACUACCGGUAAAUCUUUAGUUUAGAAGUUUCUACAUUAAGUAAACAUAGUUGAGGGAUUUUACCACUAAAAAUAAAAAAAAAUCAAAAAAAUUUAUCUAAAAAUUAGUAACUUAAAUUUUCAAAAUUAUCAUUUUUAAUUUUUUUUUGUAAAUAUAUGAGUUUGAUGUAUUUUUAACAUCAUCAUUAUAUAUAUAAAUUAAAAAUGUAAAGACCGAGAAAUAUAAUAAAAAUUAUAUAAAGAAUUCAGACGCAAUAAGACUUUCUUCCCUAACUUCCGGUAAGACAUAUAUAUUCCAAAAGCACAAAAUACUAUGGCGGUUAAGCUUGCACGUGGUACGAAGAGUUCUCAUUCAGCUAUGUUAUAUGUCAAUUCAAUAUUUUCGGUUUAGCUUUCUGAAUCGCGCGAUCCAGUUACUUAGUUCUCGCUUAUGUUGUCAAAAAAUUACUAAUUUUUAAACAAUAUUAUAAAAUUUUGAAUUUUUAGAUUUUUAAUGGUAAAACCCUUUAACUAUGUUUACUUAACGUAAAAACUCCUAAACUAAAAAUUUACCAAUAACAAUAGUAAUUAUGAUAUGGUAGAAUUUAAUUCAUUAAAUAAUUUUAGUUUGGAGUUUUUUUUAAUAUUUAAUUCGAGAGUUUUUACCCAAAAUAAACUAAGUUGACGGUUUUAAUGUUAAAAAUUCUAAUAUUUUCUUGCUAAUAUAACCCACGUGGAUAUAAUAGAGAGAUCUGUAAUGAAAUAAAUAAUAAUACGAUAAAAAAAGAAAAAGGAAAAGCGUUUAGAAAGCAAAAAAAAACAAAAAGCUGUGAGAAGGCAAUGGAGGACGGCGAGAUCGAGGAAGGAAUGGUGACGGCCGAUGAGUAUCCGACGUCGGAAGCCCCGCGGCGAGAGCCGGUGAAAUCUGCACUGGAGUUGCUUAGAGAGAGCAAAACAUCAGUGGAAGAAAUCGUAGGAAGGAUGCUCUCGAUCAAAAGAGAAGAAGGAAACAACAAAUCGGAGAUUCGAGAACUCCUCACGCAGAUGUUCCUCAACUUCGUGAAUCUCCGUCAGGCGAAUCGCGCGAUUCUGACGGAGGAAGACAAAGUGAAGGCGGAGACGGAGCGAGCGAAAGGCCCAGUCGAUUUCACGACGCUGCAGUUGCACAAUCUCAUGUACGAGAAGAGCCAUUACGUCAAAGCUAUCAAGGCUUGCAGAGAUUUCAAAUCCAAGUAUCCCGACAUCGAUCUCGUUUCGGAAGAGGCUUUCUUUCGUGAGGCUCCUGAAUCUAUCAAGGAUCAAUCUGUUGCAGCUGAUACUUUGAUGCCUAAAAGACUCAGUUUUGAGCUUCAUCAGGUUGGUUCUGCAUUUGGCAAUGAGUGUAUUGGCCCUAACCCUUUAUAUAUUAGUAGAUUAAUUCUUAUAUUUUCGAUGUGGCAAUACUCUCCUUCACAUCUGUAUAGUAGUAGUAGUUGUAGUAAAUUAGGUCAAAUGAUCUUAUCGUUCUGAUACCAUGUUAGAUUCGGGUUUUAUUGAAUGUUUUCUCAAGGGUGUGUUUUUGAUUCAGAGGAAAGAAUUGUGUAAGCAUCGAGCGAGAUUGGAGCAAAAGAAGAAGAGUUUACUCGAAACCAUUGCGGAGCGCAAGAAGUUUCUCUCAAGUCUUCCUGUGCACCUCAAGUCUCUCAAAAAAGCGUCCAUUCCUGUACAGAACCAGUUGGGUAUCCACCACACCAAGAAACUGAAGCAGCAUAGUCUAGCUGAGCUGCUUCCUCCUCCCCUUUAUGUAAUUUACUCUCAGCUUUUGGCACUAAAGGAAGCUUUUCAAGAGAGGAUCGACUUGGAGCUACUUGGGAGCCUUAAGGAUGCUCAAGCUUAUGCUAGACUGCAAUCCAAAAAGGACUCUGGUGAGUUUUUGUCAAAAGUUUUACUGUCUUCUGUGACUGAACCGAACCGAACCGAGAGGAAAGCUAAUUUGGUGUUCUGGUCUUUUAGGCAUGUCGAGUAAUACAGAGAGUUCUAGGUUGGAGGAUGAUGGACCUGAUGAUGAUGAUG